AUUGAACGCUGUCGGCAUGCCUUACACAUGCAAGUCGAACGGCAGCACGGGUGCUUGCACCUGGUGGCGAGUGGCGAACUGUUGAUUAAUACAUCGGAACAUGUCCUGUAGUGGGGUAUAUCCCGGCGAAAGCCGGCUUAAUACCGCAUACGAUCUACGGAUGUAAGCGGGGGACCUUCGGGCCUCGCGCUAUAGGGUUGGCCGAUGGCUGAUUAGCUAGUUGGUGGGUUCAAGGCCUACCAAAGCGACGAUCAGUAGCUGGUCUGAGAGGACGACCAGCUACACUGGGACUGAGACAAGGCACAGACUCCUACGGGAGGCAGCAGUGGGGAAUUUUGGACAAUGGGCGAAAGCCUGAUCCAGCAAGGCCGCGUGUGUGAAGAAGGCCUUCGGGUUGUAAAGCACUUUUGUCCGGAAAGAAAUCCUUGGCCCUAAUACGGUCGGGGGAUGACGGUACCGGAAGAAUAAGCACCGGCUAACUACGUG
RNAcentral lists this ribosomal RNA (486 nucleotides) under uncultured bacterium. RNAcentral's name for it is "partial 16S ribosomal RNA". It matches the Rfam family "Bacterial small subunit ribosomal RNA", at positions 30 to 507 of the family's 1533-position model. The record is from RNAcentral.